GUGCUUGCUUCAGCAGCACAUAUACUAAAAUUGGAAUGAUACAGAGAUCAGCAUCGCCCCUGCACAAGGAUGAUGGGCAAAUUCAUGAAGCACUCCAUAUUUUU
Molecule: small nuclear RNA, 104 nt
Organism: Cynocephalus volans (Philippine flying lemur)
Lineage: Eukaryota; Metazoa; Chordata; Mammalia; Dermoptera; Cynocephalidae
Source: RefSeq, a predicted model, not a curated record